CCUACGGGGGGCAGCAGUGGGGAAUAUUGGACAAUGGGCGAAAGCCUGAUCCAGCCAUGCCGCGUGUGUGAAGAAGGCCUUCGGGUUGUAAAGCACUUUCAGUGGGGAAGAAAGCCUUGGGGCUAAUACCCUCGAGGAAGGACAUCACCCACAGAAGAAGCACCGGCUAACUCCGUGCCAGCAGCCGCGGUAAUACGGAGGGUGCGAGCGUUAAUCGGAAUUACUGGGCGUAAAGCGCGCGUAGGCGGUCUGAUAAGCUGGUUGUGAAAGCCCCGGGCUCAACCUGGGAACGGCAUCCGGAACUGUCAGGCUAGAGUGCAGGAGAGGAAGGUAGAAUUCCCGGUGUAGCGGUGAAAUGCGUAGAGAUCGGGAGGAAUACCAGUGGCGAAGGCGGCCUUCUGGACUGACACUGACGCUGAGGUGCGAAAGCGUGGGUAGCAAACAGGAUUAGAUACCCCAGUAGUC
Molecule: ribosomal RNA, 465 nt
Filed under: Vreelandella stevensii
Lineage: Bacteria; Pseudomonadati; Pseudomonadota; Gammaproteobacteria; Oceanospirillales; Halomonadaceae
Description: partial 16S ribosomal RNA
Rfam family: Bacterial small subunit ribosomal RNA
Source: RNAcentral